Molecule: long non-coding RNA, 1720 nt
Filed under: Anas platyrhynchos platyrhynchos (common mallard)
Lineage: Eukaryota; Metazoa; Chordata; Aves; Anseriformes; Anatidae
Description: lncRNA (ENSAPLG00000018267.1)
Source: RNAcentral
AUGGACCUGAAGGACUCCCUGUUGGUCCCUUACUGGUUUGUACUGGUUCAUACUGGUCCCUUACUGGCUUUUGCUGCUUUUUUACUGGCCUCUACUGGAUUUUACGAGCCAAUAUUGUUUUUUACUGGUUUCUUACUGGUUCCUACUGCUUUUUUACUGGCCUCUACUGGAUUUUACUGCUUUUUUACUGGCCUCUACCAUUUUUUACUGGUUCCUUACUGGUUCCUACUGCUUUUUUGCUGGCCUCUACUGGAUUUUACUGGUUUCCACCACUUCUUACUGGCUCCUCCUGGCCCCCCCCGGCCCGUACUCACGCAGGGGGGUGCAGAGCAGCAGCAGCCCCAGGGCGACGUUGCGCAGCACCACCAGGAGCUUCUGCUGCCGCCGGUUCCGCUUCUGCUCCCGCUCCAGCUCCUCGACCCUGGCCUUGGUGAAGGCCUCCACGGCGCUGUAGAUGCUCCUGGCCCCCAGCCCCGGUUCCUCCGCCGCCUUGGUGGCGAGCGCGGCCGCCAGCACCUGGUUCAGCCUCCUCAGGGCCUCCUCGGCCUCUGCCGCCGCCUCCUCGGCCUCCUCCCGUGCCUCCGGCAUCUUCUCCAGUGUCCCCAGCGCGUUGGCCAGUCCCACCAGUGCCUUCAGGCCCCGCGAGGUGGCCGCCGAGGCCUUGGCCAGCACCGGGGUCAGCUGAGUGGAGGCCAUCCUGGGGGGGACACAAAGGGUUAGCGGGGGGACAUCUUGGGGACACGGCUGUCCAGUUGGGGACACCUCCUUGGGGACAUAAGUGUCAAGAUAAGGACACCAGGUCCAGCUGGGGACACCUCCAUAGGGACACCUCCUUGGGGACAUCAGCGUCAAUGUAAGGACACCUUGGGGACACUCUGUCCAGCUGGGGACACCUCCUUGGGGACAUCAGCGUCAAGAUAAGGACACCAGGUCCAGCUGGGGACACCUCCAUGGGGACAGUGUCCAGAUAAGGACACCUUGGGGACACUCUGUCCAGCUGGGGACACCUCCUUGGGGACGGUGUCCAGAUAAGGACACCUUGGGGACACUAGGUCCAGCUGGGGACACCUCCGUGGGGACACCUCCGUGGGGACCUUGGGGUCCAUUUGGGGACACCUCCUUGGGGACCUCAGUGUCCAGAUAAGGACACCCUGGGGACACUAGGUCCAGUUGGGGACACCUCCGUGGGGACCUCAGUGUCCAGAUAAGGACACCUUGGGGACACAUCUGUCCAGUUGGGGACACCACCCUGGGGACCCCAGUGUCCAUGUGGGGACAUCUCCUUCAGGACCUCAGGGUCCCAGCGAAGACACCUCCUUGGGGACAGCUUCUUGGGAACCUCGGGGUCCAUUUGGGGACACCUCCUUGGGGACACCUUCUUGGGGACCCCAGCGUCCACACAGGGACACCUUGGGGACACUUCUGUCCUGUUGGGGACACCUCCUUCAGGACCUGAGUAUCCAUGUGAGGCCACCUCCUUGGGGCCACGUCCUUGGGUCCCCAUGUGCCCCAAAAGGGACAAUCCCAGAGAAGUGCCCCGAGUGUCCCCGAGGCCCCCAGCACCCCCGAAGGGCCACGUCCACGGGGGUGACACCGAAGUCCCCGUGGCCGCGUCCCCACCCAGACACUCGGUGACAAUGCCACCACCCCGCGGACUGCGGAGGGGACACCCCCAGGAGCAGGAACCCAGUGUCCCCGUGUGGGGUCACCCCCGGGGGGG